This is a long non-coding RNA of Acanthopagrus latus (yellowfin seabream), 3188 nucleotides long. RefSeq lists it as uncharacterized. The record is from RefSeq and is a predicted model, not a curated record. NCBI's taxonomy places the organism in Eukaryota, Metazoa, Chordata, Actinopteri, Spariformes, Sparidae. The transcript is spliced from 4 exons.
AUUCAGCUCCUUUCGUUACGUAAUGAAAGGUUUCACAAUGUCAUCGCUCAGAGUUAGACAACGAGUGUCAGUACAAAACUGGCUUUGCCUCGACACUGACACUCAUAAAAGGAUCAGUCCCAACCAUACUGGACCCAGCAACUGCACCCCAGCCACAGUUUCUGCCCACCUGUGGGAUCACCCUGACUGGUUUCACCUGGUUCUGAAUUUGGAUGUUCCCUCCCUGGAGGCACUUGUGGUUCACCAGCUUUAACACCAUCCUGCAUGCAAGUUUUGUGGAAAACCAACCAACCAACAAAAGGGACACGGCACCUUUUUUCCUUGUACACCUGUGUUUCUUUUGUUCAUCAGCCCUUGUGUAUCUAAAUCUGUCGUUUCCCCCUCAGUCUCUGUCAGUUCGUCUGUUUUCAUCCUGCGUCCCCUGUGUUCCCGUCCCCUGGUCCUCGUAUGUCCUCUGUGCUCCCGCUUUGUUCUCGGUGGCUUCAGGUUUGUCUUCAGUUUUGUAUUUCGGUUUCGUUUUUCCUUUUGUUGUUUGCAUUUCGGACUUGUCCCCCCCCCCCCCGUCUUAUUUUCUGCCUCAAUGUUGCCAUUUAUGCAAACCAUGACAGUGUGUAUGUAUAGCACAGUAUACUUUUAUACAGUGCAUAUGAGUCAAUAUGACAUCUGCCUGAGAUAAGCAGUGAAAAGUAGCUUGGACAUUAAAUAUGGUGGGUUAUGGUGGCAGAGAAACAGCUUGACAGUGUUACAUUAUGUUGUGUCUGUGUUGAGGAGUCUGACUGCUGGUGGAGCAGAGGACCUGCCGUAGCGCUCCUUCUUACACUGUGGGUGCAGCGGCCUGUAGCAGCCUUGUUAGGCAACAGCGUGGAAUUGACUGUACGGUUUUCUAGGAUCCUAGACUGUCAAAAGUGGAGCUGCUGCAAGCCUUCAGCCGUGGACACUGCAGGGGUUCAUGCAGCAUCUGGCAUAUGAGAAGAAAUCAUCGGAGGAAGAACCCGUUUGGAGCUUUAGGACACUCUGGUUUUCUGUCUUUCUCGCUCUGAUGCUCUCUCGUUCCCUCACACAUUUUUUUUUUCCCACUCCUGCUCUGUCCUAGUCAUCUGUCUCCAUCUGGACCCGUGCAUGUAUAUAUAGGAUCGGUGCCAGCACAGCCAGUCACUCACUUCAAAACACAGAGCUGAGGGCUUUUUCUCUCGAUGGCAAACAGGAAAGGAGGACAUGGCAAAGAAAUGUGGAGAGAGAAUGCAUUAUAACAGCCCAAUCAGCCAUUGUUAUGUGCAUGUUAAAUUGUUUUUUGCAAGUGGAUCUGUGACCUUUGAAUGAAGCCUGUGAUUAUGAAUCGCAUAAUGAGAACAUAAGCCUAUCAUCAAGCUACUCUAUAUUUACAUUCUCUUUCUGUCUCCUUCUCUCUUUUCUUUCUUCCUUUUCCCACUCUCAGACUCGAUCAGUGGGACAAGGACAUUCACUCUUUCAGCUUUGCCACGACCUCGGGGAGCCAAUCAUCUCGUUGCUGUCAAACUUUAAAACUGUUCCUUUCUCCGCUGCUGUCAGCUGAUAUUUCAGUGUCAGAUCGUUGCAAAUCUCCUCCCAUCCAUUCAGUUUUCAUCACAUCCGGCGCUUGUGGGUCCUUGGAAUUCCCGCUCCACAUCCAUCCAGAUCUUCCACUAUUGCUCUUCAGCCCCUCAUCUCCACUAUUCACCAAAGGCUCCUCUCAUAUAUCCUCAAUUUUUCUACCUCCUUUUUUAAAUUAAAGGAACACACAAUAUUCUAAGUCAAUCAAUAUGCCAUUCCCAUGAGAACUGUGAACCUGGAUGGAGCAGGCAUCCUAUUUAGUCACCCACUGACGCCAUAGAAUGCUGUUUUCAACAGGGUUGCAUUUAUCUCGAGCUUACUUUGACAUUGAAGAGGAUGCUUGCAUGGAUGGUGUUGAUGUGUGUGGUUUCAUAUCUGUGUGUGCACGUGCGUGCUGUGCUCAUACUCACUGAUUUGAUGGCAGGACUACCAGUCUGAAUCCUUUUAAGCCUCCUCUUUAGCCACUGAGACUCUUUGACAUAAAGAGACUCAGAGGCUCAAUGCUAUUUCUGAUUUUUACCCCCCUCACUGUUGAGUGCCCCCAUAGCCCUUCAGAACAUGGGUAGUGGUUGAAAUCUUCACCUAUAGCCGUAGUACAUUGAAAAAGUGCAGUUCUCAUAAUCCUGUACCAUUGAAAAACGCAAGUUUGGAGGGCCAUGUAACCCUAACACUCCACCCUUCUCCUCUAUCCCAACAACAAUCAGGACACCCUACCCCUAAGCUAAACGGGAUGUGUGUUGGGUUGCACAAGCAGGGAGUAAUGGCAUAUGUUCAAGGAAAUUUUCACUUGAAAUAAAAAGCAAAAUGUACUAUCCUGAAACGUAAAAACCAAGCAACCCGCUCACAACCUUGUUGACGCAAUAUGGAUCCAGCAGCAAAGAGCUUAGGGGCAAAAUGCAAAGUCAUUAGCCAGCAAAAUGUUUAAACCUAGCUGCAACUCAGUGUGAUGUAAUUUGGCAAUGCGCUGAUUUGGCCGAUCACAACCAAGCAGAGGUAAAAGACUGUCGACGUGAUAAUAUAAAAAGACCUGCCCAGAUCCUUCAUUUUUAUUUUUAUUUUAUUUCUGUCAAAAUUGUUUGUUUUCAGCCUAAACGUCUCGCAACCCUCAUGUGAGAGUCAUGUGUACGGUGGCCAACAAGGGCAAACGUGCAGCAAAGAAAGUCUUGUGGAUUAUUAACAAAACAUCUUUAAUUCUACAACAUCCCAGUGGACAGUUUAACUCCAACUUUACAUUAUUAAAUCUAUUUCAACAGAUGGGCCUUUUACAUGGAAAAUAAGCUCCUGUAGAUACACUAGAUCAUAAUCCAAGGCUGAUUUCUUAUGGUACACGUCUAUAGUCCUGAUGCAAUUUUGGCAACAUCCAUUGUACAUAAUGCAGCCAGAAAGUCUGGGAGAACAAACUGUAUGACACACACACCCACGCGCACACACAGAGUCUUUCCUACUAUUUGCUUCUUUGCAUUCUCAGAGAGAUGAUUAAAGGGGCUCUUCAGUAUUCAGGCAGGUAGUCUCAUAUUUACAAGCAGUUAGAUGAAUGGAACAUUUUUCCCUUCAUGGUUCUUGUUUCCCAUGACUACUGUUGCUGUGACAAAUAGAAAAUAUAAUGAAAUCCAACAUUG